ACAUCAGGAUACCAGGCCAGCUGUUUCAGCAUCUGGAACAGAUCGAAGUUCAGUCAAUUCAUAAACCUGACACAGCACCAGAUGAGAAAUACAAAUUUACAACUUAAAGGGAUAGAGUUAUGUAUUUUCUGGUCACAUUGCCAUUUUACAGCACAAUCAAGAAUCUCCAGCUCUUUCUGAAACUCCGCCUUCAGGAAGUCAUUACAACUCCUCAAUUAACUCUUAAACAAUAUUUUUACCAGCCUUGCAGAAAUAAGUUGCUGGUACAAUAAGCAGAUACGCAAUUCCACCAGGUGUCUACUAAUUGUUCCUGGCUAGUCUGAAGGAGCGGAGAAGGGAAGGGCUGCUCCAUCAGGUGGAGACAUUUGGGCAUUCCCAAAAACAUACCAAUGGUCCACCCCUGAACGCCACACAGCCUCCAACAAUUAGCACCAGUUGGAUCAUAAUGUGGUUUUUGCUUUGGUGUUAUAAAAAUUCAGGGUUGCCAGU
This is a long non-coding RNA of Poeciliopsis prolifica (blackstripe livebearer), 489 nucleotides long. RefSeq lists it as uncharacterized. The record is from RefSeq and is a predicted model, not a curated record. The transcript is spliced from 3 exons. Lineage: Eukaryota; Metazoa; Chordata; Actinopteri; Cyprinodontiformes; Poeciliidae.